CGAUGUUGCUCAAUACCGUAGUUUGUCUGUGAAGUCUGCAGAGGGUGCCGACAGUAGCCAGUAUGAUCAUGUAUUUAUGUGUGAUAAAUGUGUAUCAGCUGCGCUAGUUUGAAGGUCCUCCACCGUCCAUAGUUCCUCCAUCUGGUAGAACCACAAGGUCAACGGAGGAAUCACUGCCUGUUUCCAGUAUUGUGGGAUCACCAUUUUAGUUAUGUUCAGGAUAUGGAUCUUGAGAGAUUUUUAUACAAAGAUCUAG
Molecule: non-coding RNA, 256 nt
Organism: Pelobates cultripes (western spadefoot toad)
Lineage: Eukaryota; Metazoa; Chordata; Amphibia; Anura; Pelobatidae
Source: the annotation of a GenBank genome assembly